Molecule: ribosomal RNA, 468 nt
Filed under: uncultured bacterium
Lineage: Bacteria
Description: partial 16S ribosomal RNA
Rfam family: Bacterial small subunit ribosomal RNA
Source: RNAcentral
GACGAACGCUGGCGGCUUGCUUAACACAUGCAAUUCGAACGGAAAGGCCCUGCUUUUGUGGGUUGCUCGAGUGGCGAACGGGUGAGUAACACGUGAGUAACCUGCCCUUGACUUUGGGAUAACUUCAGGAAACUGGGGCUAAUACCGGAUAGGAGCUCCUGCUGCAUGGUGGGGGUUGGAAAGUUUCGGCGGUUGGGGAUGGACUCGCGGCUUAUCAGCUUGUUGGUGGGGUAGUGGCUUACCAAGGCUUUGACGGGUAGCCGGCCUGAGAGGGUGACCGGCCACAUUGGGACUGAGAUACGGCCCAGACUCCUACGGGAGGCAGCAGUGGGGAAUAUUGCACAAUGGGCGGAAGCCUGAUGCAGCAACGCCGCGUGCGGGAUGACGGCCUUCGGGUUGUAAACCGCUUUCGCCUGUGACGAAGCGUGAGUGACGGUAAUGGGUAAAGAAGCACCGGCUAACUACGUG